Molecule: ribosomal RNA, 460 nt
Filed under: uncultured bacterium
Lineage: Bacteria
Description: partial 16S ribosomal RNA
Rfam family: Bacterial small subunit ribosomal RNA
Source: RNAcentral
CCUACGGGUGGCUGCAGUGAGGAAUAUUGGUCAAUGGGCGCGAGCCUGAACCAGCCAAGUAGCGUGAAGGAUGAAUGCCCUAAGGGUUGUAAACUUCUUUUAUCAAGGAAUAAAGUGAGGCACGUGUGCCUUUUUGUAUGUACUUGAUGAAUAAGGAUCGGCUAACUCCAUGCCAGCAGCCGCGGUAAUACGGAGGAUCCGAGCGUUAUCCGGAUUUAUUGGGUUUAAAGGGAGCGUAGAUGGGUUGUUAAGUCAGUUGUGAAAGGUUGCGGCUCAACCGUAAAAUUGCAGUUGAUACUGGCAGUCUUGAGUACAGUUGAGGUAGGCGGAAUUCGUGGUGUAGCGGUGAAAUGCUUAGAUAUCACGAAGAACUCCGAUUGCGAAGGCAGCUUACUAAACUGCCACUGACAUUGAGGCUCGAAAGUGUGGGUAUCAAACAGGAUUAGAUACCCUGGUAGUC